Long non-coding RNA from Oncorhynchus keta (chum salmon), 715 nucleotides. RefSeq lists it as uncharacterized. Lineage: Eukaryota; Metazoa; Chordata; Actinopteri; Salmoniformes; Salmonidae. The transcript has 2 exons. The record is from RefSeq and is a predicted model, not a curated record.
GUCACUUCACACCGUUUUGUCGCAGUAACUUAGGAGACAUCUAGUCUCCUACGAUAAUGCUAGAAAAUGAUCGAGCGCGGAGGGGGGACUUCACUUGGCACACACCUAGUAAGGAGGGAGAGAGAAUAUGAUUAAAGCGUGUAAAUUUUUACGCGGCCCCAGGCCAAACGGACCCGUCUUUCAUCGAGCUGAAAGAUCUACAUCAAAGUGAUCUUUGUAAGCAGUGGGGCAGCAAUUAUUGUCCAUUUGCAGACUGAGGGGUAAUCAUGGACAGGCUGCGGGAUAAUCAAGGACCUCGAAAAGAAAAUGAGAUAAUAAGCGUCAAAUAUGAAAGGAAAGAAAACGGAGAGCAAACUAGAAUCUUCAUUGAGAAUAAAAGGACAUGUGAUUAGCAUGACCAAAGGUUUAAAACACUCUGUUUGAAUAGAAUAGAUUGUCAUUACUUUCAUAUUGAAUGGAGUUCACUUCAUAUCACAUUAUCUAAAUAAGAAGAUGAAAUAGAUCUGGAAAAUAUAAGAUGUUGUAGUAUUCUUUCAAGUUUUUCUUGUUUUUUUGUGAGGGACAAUAAAAUGUAUAUAAAUAUUUUUUUCAGAUACAUUUAGCACUUUAGAGUUUCAGUCGGCACAUUCAAUAACAUACUGACUUUAUGGUUCCAAUCCUCCAUGUACACAAAAUAUAUGUUGUAAUGCAAAUUAAUAGACAGCUCAAAACCAUA